UAGAGUUUGAUCCUGGCUCAGGAUGAACGCUAGCUACAGGCUUAACACAUGCAAGUCGAGGGGCAGCGGGAUUGAAGCUUGCUUCAAUUGCCGGCGACCGGCGCACGGGUGAGUAACGCGUAUCCAACCUUCCGUACACUCAGGGAUAGCCUUUCGAAAGAAAGAUUAAUACCUGAUGGUAUGAUGAGAUUGCAUGAUAGCAUCAUUAAAGAUUUAUCGGUGUACGAUGGGGAUGCGUUCCAUUAGGUAGUAGGCGGGGUAACGGCCCGCCUAGCCAACGAUGGAUAGGGGUUCUGAGAGGAAGGUCCCCCACAUUGGAACUGAGACACGGUCCAAACUCCUACGGGAGGCAGCAGUGAGGAAUAUUGGUCAAUGGACGAGAGUCUGAACCAGCCAAGUAGCGUGAAGGAUGAAGGUCCUACGGAUUGUAAACUUCUUUUAUAAGGGAAUAAACCCUCCCACGUGUGGGAGCUUGUAUGUACCUUAUGAAUAAGCAUCGGCUAACUCCGUGCCAGCAGCCGCGGUAAUACGGAGGAUGCGAGCGUUAUCCGGAUUUAUUGGGUUUAAAGGGAGCGCAGACGGGUCGUUAAGUCAGCUGUGAAAGUUUGGGGCUCAACCUUAAAAUUGCAGUUGAUACUGGCGUCCUUGAGUGCGGUUGAGGUGUGCGGAAUUCGUGGUGUAGCGGUGAUAUGCUUAGAUAUCACGAAGAACCCCGAUUGCGAAGGCAGCUUGCUAAACUGUAACUGACGCUGAUGCUCGAAAGUGUGGGUAUCAAACAGGAUUAGAUACCCUGGUAGUCCACACAGUAAACGAUGAAUACUCGCUGUUUGCGAUAUACAGUAAGCGGCCAAGCGAAAGCGUUAAGUAUUCCACCUGGGGAGUACGCCGGCAACGGUGAAACUCAAAUGACA
This 911-nucleotide ribosomal RNA is filed under the name uncultured bacterium. RNAcentral describes it as "bacterial SSU rRNA". It matches the Rfam family "Bacterial small subunit ribosomal RNA", at positions 1 to 910 of the family's 1533-position model. The record is from RNAcentral.